GGUUCCGUAGCUCAGUGGUAGAGCGCCUGACUCUUAAUCAGUGUGUCGCGUGUUCGAAUCACGCCGGAACCAC
Molecule: transfer RNA, 73 nt
Filed under: Anaplasma phagocytophilum
Lineage: Bacteria; Pseudomonadati; Pseudomonadota; Alphaproteobacteria; Rickettsiales; Anaplasmataceae
Description: tRNA-Lys
Rfam family: tRNA
About the family: Transfer RNA (tRNA) molecules are approximately 80 nucleotides in length. Their secondary structure includes four short double-helical elements and three loops (D, anti-codon, and T loops).
Source: RNAcentral